AGCCAUGCUGUGGAAGCCAUCCCACAUAUGAGGUAGAGGAAGAUGGGCACAGAUGUUAGCUCAGGGCCAGUCUUCCUCAGCAAAAACAGGGGGAUUGGCAGGAGUUAGCUCAGGGCUAAUCUUCCUCAAAAAAAAAAAAAAAGUAGGAGGGAGUAAGGAGAAAUAAACACUCAAACUUCUCUCUCUUCUCAUCCCCUGUUCUCCUGCUACUUUCUUCCAACGGCUUAACCCAACAAAAAUUCAGAGGACAUGGAAGCCUGCGUGAUGAAUUCUAUUUUGGUCAGCUUCUACGGUCACUGGGGAGGAGAGAGAAAGAAGGUCCAGUGGUUGAUGAUUGCUAUGUGGAUAUCAACUUUGAGUUGGGAUCUCAGCCUGUUUCUUUCCCUUCUUUUCACAAUCUCAAGAUGGAUGCAGCAGUUAUGGGCAUCAUCUCCUCUCAAGACCUCAUAAAAGUCAGAAAUUGGAAAAUCAUCAUGGAUGAAGUAGAGAGAAGAGUUCUCCAGAGCAUUUCAAACAGCCAAGCAGUGAGGCCUUACUGCACAUGGCCAAACAGGAGUCAAGAAUCAGAUAGUUAUAAAUCGAGGAACCACGUCCAAUAUCAGACAACAGGGUGUGGUGGUAGGUGCUGCAAACUGGAGAACGGAUGCCCCACUUAAAGAUAUUAAAUUUAAAAAGAAAAUUAAAGCUGCCAGAAGGUGGGGAACAGAACUAAGGCAAAGAGCUCUAGAGCUACUCCUUGGCUGCCAUCAUCAUAUGGCAUAUGUACCCACAGUAGAGACGCAGGACUCAGGCCAUAAUCACUAAGAAGGAUCUCUUCCCCUGUGCCUCAAUGCCCAUGUCAAGGAUAAACUCUCCCACCCUAGGAGGUCACCAACAUUCAUCUGUAGUCCUGGGCUUCUUGAACAAAUGACUCUCUUUUCCUUGGCUGACCUGCCAGUCUUAAAAUAGUCCAUGACCCCAACUGGUCUCCCUGCGCAGGGUCCAGGGCCUUUCUUUCCAUCUUCCAGCCUAUCCACAUAGACUUUCAAGAAGUAUGGCUCAUUUGGCCCUCUCAUUAUUGGAUUCAGUGGUUACAACCCAAGCUCCUUCCAGAAAUCCUCCCUAGGAAAUCCUGCUCCACCUUUAUUGAAAAAGAAUCAAAUAGACCCCAAGAAAUGAUUGCUGGGAAUAUUUUGGAGCAGAAAAGCAAAUUAGCCUCUCCCAUUGCCAUCUUCUAAUUCCACCUCUAAAAUUCCACACUGCUAUUUCUGACAUUGUCUUUCUUCAUGUAAAAUAAUUUCUACUACUAACUGAAUAAAAUGGGCAAGAUUAAUUCUGAGGGUUUUUAAAAACUAAAUUUGAGUUUGAGCCU
RNAcentral lists this long non-coding RNA (1351 nucleotides) under Equus caballus (horse). RNAcentral's name for it is "lncRNA (ENSECAG00000050136.1)". Lineage: Eukaryota; Metazoa; Chordata; Mammalia; Perissodactyla; Equidae. The record is from RNAcentral.